CCCGCGCUCAGACGCCCCAGCUCCGCCGAGAGGCCGCUCGCGACAGGUCCUUCCUCUUCCCCAAGUGCAGGCAGAGCCCCCGGAGCCACUGCCAGCCCUUCCCGCAGCUCCGAAACCACUGGCAAGCCCCGAGGCAGGGAUGGCCCUCCCAGGAGGGAGGAGGACGACGUCCCUCCCGAGGAGAAGAGGCUGCGGCUGUUGCUGGAGGGGGGAAGCGCACAGCCCGGCGACUGCGAGGACGGGGAGGACGCGCCGCGGCCGGGCAGGGAGGAGACCGGCACCCAGACAGGUGGCGACGGCAGAGGAAGGGAAAUGGGAAUCGCAUGACCUGAAGGAUGAUGGAGGAACUGAACAGAA
RNAcentral lists this long non-coding RNA (357 nucleotides) under Homo sapiens (human). RNAcentral describes it as "HSALNT0068360". Lineage: Eukaryota; Metazoa; Chordata; Mammalia; Primates; Hominidae. The record is from RNAcentral.